This 253-nucleotide ribosomal RNA is filed under the name uncultured bacterium. RNAcentral's name for it is "partial 16S ribosomal RNA". It matches the Rfam family "Bacterial small subunit ribosomal RNA", at positions 524 to 776 of the family's 1533-position model. The record is from RNAcentral.
UACGGGGGGGGCAAGCGUUGUUCGGAAUUACUGGGCGUAAAGGCUCGUAGGCGGCCAACUAAGUCGGAUGUGAAAUCCCCAGGCUUAACCUGGGAACUGCAUCCGAUACUGGAUGGCUUGAAUCCGGGAGGGGGAUGCAGAAUUCCUGGUGUAGCGGUGAAAUGCGCAGAUAUCAGGAGGAACACCGAGUGGCGAAGGCAGGUCUCUGGGCAUUAACUGACGCUGAGGAGCGAAAGCAUGGGGAGCGAACAGG